This 206-nucleotide ribosomal RNA is filed under the name Lacrimispora celerecrescens. RNAcentral describes it as "[Clostridium] celerecrescens partial 16S ribosomal RNA". It matches the Rfam family "Bacterial small subunit ribosomal RNA", at positions 1348 to 1533 of the family's 1533-position model. Lineage: Bacteria; Bacillati; Bacillota; Clostridia; Lachnospirales; Lachnospiraceae. The record is from RNAcentral.
AUCAGAAUGCCGCGGUGAAUACGUUCCCGGGUCUUGUACACACCGCCCGUCACACCAUGGGAGUUGGUAACGCCCGAAGUCAGUGACCCAACCGUAAGGAGGGAGCUGCCGAAGGCGGGACUGAUAACUGGGGUGAAGUCGUAACAAGGUAGCCGUAUCGGAAGGUGCGGCUGGAUCACCUCCUUUCUAAGGAAGAAGAAGUAAGG